GACGAACGCUGGCGGCGCGCCUAACACAUGCAAGUCGAACGAGCGAGAGAGAGCUUGCUUUCUCGAGCGAGUGGCGAACGGGUGAGUAACGCGUGAGGAACCUGCCUCAAAGAGGGGGACAACAGUUGGAAACGACUGCUAAUACCGCAUAAGCCCACGACCCGGCAUCGGGUAGAGGGAAAAGGAGCAAUCCGCUUUGAGAUGGCCUCGCGUCCGAUUAGCUAGUUGGUGAGGUAAUGGCCCACCAAGGCGACGAUCGGUAGCCGGACUGAGAGGUUGAACGGCCACAUUGGGACUGAGACACGGCCCAGACUCCUACGGGAGGCAGCAGUGGGGAAUAUUGCACAAUGGGGGAAACCCUGAUGCAGCGACGCCGCGUCGGA
RNAcentral lists this ribosomal RNA (383 nucleotides) under uncultured bacterium. RNAcentral's name for it is "bacterial SSU rRNA". It matches the Rfam family "Bacterial small subunit ribosomal RNA", at positions 28 to 406 of the family's 1533-position model. The record is from RNAcentral.